AUCACCUGACAUCCUGCUUUGCCUUUAGGGGAUGCUCAGCAAUUGUCUAAUGAAUGGAAAGGCGGGUCUUCCUGAAUUUCGCAAACGGCCUGCAGUAAGGGCAGAGGUACAGUCUCACAUAGGAUUUUUAAUUUUCAAAAGCUUAGUAUAAAUUUAAUUUUUCACAAAAACUUAAAAUCUUGGAUGGCUCCCAGGCUCUUCUUUAUGUAUCCGUGAAAGUGUUUGAAAAAUAGUCAGUACCUGCUGCAUGCGUACCGGUCCAAAGGGUGGACACUGUUGUCUGGACAAAGGAAGGUUCUGGAGCACAGAUUGCUGGAAUACACUCAUUGAAUGAAAACCUUGACCUUUGUGUGUCUCAAGUGAACGAACUGACGUCAGGCUGCUGACCACGUGAAAAGAGGGGGAAGAGGAAAUAAGGAUGCAGCCUCUGGGUCAGCAGGCUGUGGGAGCCAUGACCGGCCAGUCUUGAUUAAAAGCCAAGUGGACAGAAAAGUGUCUUUCAGGCCUUGGGAAAUCUGUGUAAGGCUUGGGGGCCUUAUGCUCCUUUAGAUUCUCCAAACUGUACCUCUUCCCCCAAACUGAUUUUGAAGUUUUAUUUUUCUCUUUCAAAAUUUGACAACACAUAAUCACGUUAAUACCACCGAAGUGAGAAAAAGCAGAUAUAUUUUCACAUUACAUGUUUACCUUCUGACACUGCGUUGUGCGUAGCACUGCAGUUCUUUGUGUGCAUGAGAAAUAAUACUGUGCUCUGUUCCCUGCUAGUCUAUGUUUAUCUAAAUAUCUGAUGCUGUCUCAUCACAGCUUAGCAGGUCUGGGAGGCUUGGCAAACUCUUAGGUAAACUAUGUGAUACAGCAAAUAAUUAUUCCCUUCUCCCUUUUGAGCUUAAGGAGCCAAUAAGACCUGUAAAAUGGACAAGCUCCACUGACAGAGGUCUAAUUUGGCUGAAGGCACUUGCAGGAGAGUUACUGUGAGAUCUUCAAGACAUUGUUCAGAGGCCAAAGUUACAAGCGGCUAAAGGAGGAUGACUAUAGGAAGGCACCAGCUGACUGGCUGCUACUGCUGCUGCUAAGUUGCGUCAGUCCUGUCCGGCUCUAUGAGACCCCAUAGAUGGCAGCCCACCAGGCUCCUCUGUUCCUGGGAUUCUCCAGGCAAGAAUACUGGAGUGGGCUGCCAUUUCCUUCUCCAGUGCAUGAAAGUGAAAAGUGAAG
Molecule: long non-coding RNA, 1209 nt
Organism: Bos taurus (domestic cattle)
Lineage: Eukaryota; Metazoa; Chordata; Mammalia; Artiodactyla; Bovidae
Source: Ensembl